GACGAACGCUGGCGGCAUGCCUAACACAUGCAAGUCGAACGAGACCUUCGGGUCUAGUGGCGCACGGGUGCGUAACGCGUGGGAACCUGCCCUUAGGUUCGGAAUAACUCCCCGAAAGGGGUGCUAAUACCGGAUAAUGUCUUCGGACCAAAGAUUUAUCGCCUUUGGAUGGGCCCGCGUUGGAUUAGCUAGUUGGUAGGGUAAAAGCCUACCAAGGCGACGAUCCAUAGCUGGUCUGAGAGGGUGAUCAGCCACACUGGGACUGAGACACGGCCCAGACUCCUACGGGAGGCAGCAGUGGGGAAUAUUGGACAAUGGGCGAAAGCCUGAUCCAGCAAUGCCGCGUGAGUGAUGAAGGCCUUAGGGUUGUAAAGCUCUUUUACCCGGGAUGAUAAUGACAGUACCGGGAGAAUAAGCGCCGGCUAACUCCGUG
This 433-nucleotide ribosomal RNA is filed under the name uncultured bacterium. RNAcentral's name for it is "partial 16S ribosomal RNA". It matches the Rfam family "Bacterial small subunit ribosomal RNA", at positions 28 to 507 of the family's 1533-position model. The record is from RNAcentral.